AUCCGACCAAACUGAUUGUCCGAACAUUCAAAAUGAGCGGUCUAGGAGUCCGUUCUGAUGCUGUGAAGGCGUUGGCAUCUUCACUGAAUGGGGUGGAAAACAUCCAAGAGUCCUUGGAUAUUAUAAUCAGCGCCCUCAAAGAGAAAAUUGAAAGGAGAGAACUGACCUCCAG
RNAcentral lists this non-coding RNA (172 nucleotides) under Heterosigma akashiwo. Lineage: Eukaryota; Raphidophyceae; Chattonellales; Chattonellaceae. The record is from RNAcentral.